GACAGAGGAUGCAAGCGUUAUCCGGAAUUACUGGGCGUAAAGCGCACGUAGGCGGCUUUACAAGUCAGGGGUGAAAGCCCGCGGCUCAACCGCGGAAUUGCCCUUGAGACUGUAUCGCUUGAACACGGGAGAGGUGAGUGGAAUUCCGAGUGUAGAGGUGAAAUUCGUAGAUAUUCGGAAGAACACCAGUGGCGAAGGCGGCUCACUGGACCGUUGUUGACGCUGAGGUGCGAAAGCGUGGGGAGCAAACAGG
RNAcentral lists this ribosomal RNA (253 nucleotides) under uncultured bacterium. RNAcentral's name for it is "partial 16S ribosomal RNA". It matches the Rfam family "Bacterial small subunit ribosomal RNA", at positions 524 to 776 of the family's 1533-position model. The record is from RNAcentral.